RNAcentral lists this small nucleolar RNA (88 nucleotides) under Scedosporium apiospermum. RNAcentral describes it as "A. fumigatus snoRNA Afu_455". It matches the Rfam family "A. fumigatus snoRNA Afu_455". Lineage: Eukaryota; Fungi; Ascomycota; Sordariomycetes; Microascales; Microascaceae. The record is from Rfam by way of RNAcentral.
UUGGAUGAUGAACAUCAACGACACAGGGAUUCCUCAUGCCGAAAACACGAUGUGGAUUCAGUUGUUUUAGUUUCAGCCUUGUCUGACC